AUUAGAGUUUGAUCCUGGCUCAGAUUGAACGCUGGCGGCAGGCCUAACACAUGCAAGUCGAGCGGAUGAGAAGAGCUUGCUCUUCGAUUCAGCGGCGGACGGGUGAGUAAUGCCUAGGAAUCUGCCUGGUAGUGGGGGACAACGUUUCGAAAGGAACGCUAAUACCGCAUACGUCCUACGGGAGAAAGCAGGGGACCUUCGGGCCUUGCGCUAUCAGAUGAGCCUAGGUCGGAUUAGCUAGUUGGUGAGGUAAUGGCUCACCAAGGCGACGAUCCGUAACUGGUCUGAGAGGAUGAUCAGUCACACUGGAACUGAGACACGGUCCAGACUCCUACGGGAGGCAGCAGUGGGGAAUAUUGGACAAUGGGCGAAAGCCUGAUCCAGC
This 385-nucleotide ribosomal RNA is filed under the name uncultured bacterium. Its description in RNAcentral is "bacterial SSU rRNA". It matches the Rfam family "Bacterial small subunit ribosomal RNA", at positions 1 to 392 of the family's 1533-position model. The record is from RNAcentral.